UCAUUUUCCAGUAAACAAAAAUAUUCACGACUGGAUGGAACAGGGAAAUUUCUACCAUGGGUGAUUUGCAGACAACAAAUGACUCCGAGGAGGAAGUGGUGAUUGGAAUUUCGGAUCGAAAACCGGAAAUUCCCGCAGCGGAAUGUAUUUCUCCAGAAAUUCCAGAGAAACCGACACGACUGUCACCAGUUUUUGGAAACGACAGAGAUAUUCCGGACUUUUUGGCGAACGAGCGAAAAAAUGAAUGUAAAUUGCAAAAUCAUGUGCAUUUAGUGUCAAGAGGUACUCAAACUCCCGUGAAAGCGGAUUUGUCUCGUGAAUUAACGAGCCCUACAACCCCGAGACCAAGAAAACCCCCUGAAAAUCCAAACAGGCACAUCCAGGAGCUGAUGCUGACGAGAUCUCAAUUAUCCAACGUCCACCGAAAAUACCAGCAGCUAAAAUCACGUUUCCACCGUUUGCACACAGACUAUUACAAAUUAAUGAGCAUAACUGGUGAAUUGACAUCUUCAUUAUCGAAUUCGGUUCAUCGACAGCCAGUUUCGAUCGAAACUACCCUGAGAAACUGCAUGAGAAUAUAUCCCGAUUUAUUCAACAAGAAUAUACGAGGGAGUGAAAUAUCCCUGAGUUCAGACACCGAAAAUUACGACAGCACCUGUAAAUCAUUUCUCGUCACAGUACCACUACUCCCGAAGCUGUUGAAUUACAAAAAAAUUAAAUUCCAUUUGAUCAACGCAAAUAUCAAGACAAAACUGCUGCUGCUGCAGGCAUUACGCUGGAAGAUAACUCUCAGUCAACCUGAGGAGAGGGAUGACGUUGUCAAUGAAUAUAUCAACAGUGAUUUGCUCGGUUUGCAUGGGCAAUUAGCUGGAGACUCUGGAAGGGCAGUACUGCCUUAUUUGCUUGUGCCUCUCGAUGUCGUGCAGCCUCAUCCGCUCCAGCAAUCAGCUGCUAGAUUAUUAAAUACAUUUGCUUCACUCAAGUGUGGGAGGGAUUAUCUGGCGAUGGGACCAACUGUUCUCAAUGUGGUGGUCCAGUGUCUGGACAGCACCCACGCCGACUCGAUAGAUGCAUUCACAUGUGAUAUGAUAAUCGCAAUGCUGCAGAAACUAUCUUUAAGGAGACAUCAACGACUCUACAUGAUCGCCUCAGGUCUCGUGGAGUGGCUCGUUCAUCAUUUGAAGGCUGAGGGCCACUCCAUGGGUACUUACAGGCUCGAGUACGCAGCCGCUUUGUUAAUGAAUCUUUCGCUGCAUAAAGAGGCGCAGAUCAGAGCUGCUGCCAUGGCAACUGUACUCAUGUCAACUCUCAUUGCUCUCCUUGCUACUGAACAUUUGCCAGCGCUGCCGUAUGUCAAUGGUGCUCUCAAUAGUUUUUUAGCUAAUAGUUCUAUCAAUGAGGAGGCGAGACACGUGGGACUUGGGGCUAUCCUGGAAUAUCACAGGAAGCGGAGAACUGGGGAAUUGAGGAAACACCUGGAGUACAUACUUGAUCGUCAUCAACGACACCCCAAUGAAACCAUUGAGGAAUUACUCAAUGAUGACGAUGAUAAGGAAGAGUUUGAUGUACUUGAAGAUGAGUUGGAUGAGAUGGACCCCGUCAAGGUCAACGUGGGAGAUCUCUUCGGGGAAACGCUUUUGGCGAGUUGUUAUUCUUUGAAUAAUUUGCGGUCUAAUAGUCUUGAUGUAAUGAGUGUUAAAUCACCGGUUAUUGUGCAACAAGUACCAGAAUCUCUGUCUUAUGAUUCGAGGGAGGGAGAUAAUCAGGCGGGAGUUGGCGAUUGGAAGUCAAAGAGAUUAACGUGUGAAGCUCACGAGCGAAUAUACCCAAAUCCGAUAAAACUGCAGGGACUUGGGUAUUCCAUCGAGAGCUCCUUUCCAACCAUAAAUGAAUUCUCUCCCCUGGGGAACGAGAAAAAUCCCUCAGUCGAUUCCAGAUCGUCCUUUUUAACGUCCUUCGCCUCCCAGACCUCAAUCACAAGACCCGAUCCAUCCAAUUACCUCAUCACUUCCUUGGAAGACGUUGGAAAUUAAUUAAAAACUACUUACGAGGGAAAAACUAUUUUACGGGAAAGUCCUGUUAAUGUGAGUGCUGUUUCGUCUGAUCGAAUUCGAGGUAAGAAAAUUCUGUAGUAAAAGUCGAGGAAAAAACCAGUAAUUCGAUUGAAAUCGAUGAAAUGGAAAUGCCGAUGACGAAUAAAGGGAUCUCUAUUUCGGUGAAAUCAUUGACUUUCACUGUAGAUAAGUAAAUACGGUUCACGACCUGAAAACAAUGAAAAUAAGUGGAUCACGUACUGAACGAAAGUGAGAAUGGAAUGGACGGUCCCCCAUCAUUUUCCCCGGAAGGACUACAAAGCAGUGAAAUUCCCCCAGGGGACGAGGAAGAGGCG
This is an RNA transcript of Fopius arisanus, 2389 nucleotides long. It is a transcript of the gene named lisH domain-containing protein ARMC9, with no coding region annotated. The record is from RefSeq and is a predicted model, not a curated record. The transcript is spliced from 7 exons. Lineage: Eukaryota; Metazoa; Arthropoda; Insecta; Hymenoptera; Braconidae.